ACGUAGGGUGCGAGCGUUAAUCGGAAUUACUGGGCGUAAAGCGCACGUAGGCGGCUUUGUAAGUUAGAGGUGAAAGCCCAGAGCUCAACUCUGGAACUGCCUUUAAGACUGCAUCGCUUGAAUUGUGGAGAGGUAAGUGGAAUUCCGAGUGUAGAGGUGAAAUUCGUAGAUAUUCGGAAGAACACCAGUGGCGAAGGCGACUUACUGGACACAUAUUGACGCUGAGGUGCGAAAGCGUGGGGAGCAAACAGGA
RNAcentral lists this ribosomal RNA (253 nucleotides) under uncultured prokaryote. RNAcentral describes it as "partial 16S ribosomal RNA". It matches the Rfam family "Bacterial small subunit ribosomal RNA", at positions 525 to 777 of the family's 1533-position model. The record is from RNAcentral.